GACGAACGCUGGCGGCGUGCUUAACACAUGCAAGUCGAGCGGUAAAGGCCCUUUCGGGGGUACACGAGCGGCGAACGGGUGAGUAACACGUGGGUGACCUGCCCUCAGCUCUGGGAUAAGGCCUGGGAAAACCGGGUCUAAUACUGGAUAUGACUCCAUGACGCAUGUUGUGGGUGGAAAGCCUUGUGCGGCUGAGGAUGGGCCCGCGGCCUAUCAGCUUGUUGGUGGGGUGAUGGCCUACCAAGGCGACGACGGGUAGCCGGCCUGAGAGGCGACCGGCCACACUGGGACUGAGACACGGCCCAGACUCCUACGGGAGGCAGCAGUGGGGAAUCUUGCGCAAUGGGCGAAAGCCUGACGCAGCGACGCCGCGUGAGGGAUGGACGGCCUCGG
This 393-nucleotide ribosomal RNA is filed under the name uncultured bacterium. RNAcentral describes it as "bacterial SSU rRNA". It matches the Rfam family "Bacterial small subunit ribosomal RNA", at positions 28 to 421 of the family's 1533-position model. The record is from RNAcentral.